UGACAGUACUCCUACGGGGAGGCAGCAGUGGGGGAAUAGUUGCACAAUGGGCGCAAGCCUGAUGCAGCCAUGCCGCGUGUGUGAAGAAGGCCUUCGGGUUGUAAAGCACUUUCAGUCGUGAGGAAGGUAGUGUAGUUAAUAGCUGCAUUAUUUGACGUUAGCGACAGAAGAAGCACCGACUAACUCCGUGCCAGCAGCCGCGGUAAUACGGAGGGUGCGAGCGUUAAUCGGAAUUACUGGGCGUAAAGCGCAUGCAGGUGGUUUGUUAAGUCAGAUGUGAAAGACCCGGGGCUCAACCUCGGAAUAGCAUUUGAAACUGGCAGACUAGAGUACUGUAGAGGGGGGUAGGAAUUUCAGGUGUAGCGGUGAAAUGCGUAGAGAUCUGAAGGAAUACCGGUGGCGAAGGCGGCCCCCUGGACAGAUACUGACACUCAGAUGCGAAAGCGUGGGGAGCAAACAGGAUUAGAUACCCUGGUAG
Molecule: ribosomal RNA, 478 nt
Filed under: uncultured bacterium
Lineage: Bacteria
Description: bacterial SSU rRNA
Rfam family: Bacterial small subunit ribosomal RNA
Source: RNAcentral